Molecule: ribosomal RNA, 492 nt
Filed under: uncultured bacterium
Lineage: Bacteria
Description: partial 16S ribosomal RNA
Rfam family: Bacterial small subunit ribosomal RNA
Source: RNAcentral
AGUGAACGCUGGCGGUAGGCCUAACACAUGCAAGUCGAACGGCAGCACAGUAAGAGCUUGCUCUUACGGGUGGCGAGUGGCGGACGGGUGAGGAAUACAUCGGAAUCUACUUUUUCGUGGGGGAUAACGUAGGGAAACUUACGUUAAUACCGCAUACGACCUACGGGUGAAAGCAGGGGAUCUUCGGACCUUGCGCGAUUGAAUGAGCCGAUGUCGGAUUAGCUAGUUGGCGGGGUAAAGGCCCACCAAGGCGACGAUCCGUCGCUGGUCUGAGAGGAUGAUCAGCCACACUGGAACUGAGACACGGUCCAGACUCCUACGGGAGGCAGCAGUGGGGAAUAUUGGACAAUGGGCGCAAGCCUGAUCCAGCCAUACCGCGUGGGUGAAGAAGGCCUUCGGGUUGUAAAGCCCUUUUGUUGGGAAAGAAAAGCAGCAGGUUAAUACCCCGCUGUUCUGACGGUACCCAAAGAAUAAGCACCGGCUAACUUCGUG